AGCUCCAAUAGCGUAUAUUAAAGUUGUUGCGGUUAAAAGCUCGUAGUUGGAUUUCUUCUUGGGAUCGACGGUCCCGCUGUUAGCGGAGUAUCUGUUCGAGCCUAGGAAUCCUCUCGAAAAUCAGAAUUAUGCUUGAUUGCAUUUUUUGGAGUUCGAGACUUUUACUUUGAGGAAAUUAGAGUGUUCAUAGCAAGCUGUUGCUUUGAAUAUAUUAGCAUGGAAUAAUAAUAUAAGACUGAGUUUUUAUUUUGUUGGUUUUAAGAGUUCAGUAAUGAUAAAUAGGGAUUGUCGGGGUGACUAGUAUUGAUGCGUCAGAGGUGGAAUUCUUGGAUUGCAUCACGACUAACUACUGCGAAAGCAUUUCACAAGGAUGUUUUCA
This 379-nucleotide ribosomal RNA is filed under the name uncultured eukaryote. RNAcentral describes it as "SSU rRNA". It matches the Rfam family "Eukaryotic small subunit ribosomal RNA", at positions 587 to 972 of the family's 1831-position model. The record is from RNAcentral.